ACGAACGCUGGCGGCGUGCUUAACACCUGCAAGUCUAACGGAUAGGCCCUGCUUUUGUGGGGUGCUCGAGUGGCGAACAGGUGAGUAACACGUGAGUAACCUUCCCUUGUCUUUGGGAUAACUUCAGGUAACUGGGGCUACUACCGGCUAGUAGCUACUGUUGCCUUGUGGUGUUUGUAAAGUUUCUGCGGUUGGGUCUGUACUCGCGGCUUAUCCGUUUGUUGGUGGGGUAGUUGCUUACCAAGGAUUUGACGGGUAGCCUGCCUGAGAGGGUGACAGGCCACAUUGGGACUGAGAAACGGCCAAGACUGAUACGGGAGGAAGCAGUGGGGAAUAGUGCAAAAUGGGCGGAAGGAGGAUGCAGCAACUCCGCGUGCGGGAUGACGGCCGUCGGGUUGUAAACCGCUUUCGCCUGUGAAGAAGAGUGAGUGACGGUAAUGGGUAAAGAAGCACCGGCUAACUACGUG
Molecule: ribosomal RNA, 467 nt
Filed under: uncultured bacterium
Lineage: Bacteria
Description: partial 16S ribosomal RNA
Rfam family: Bacterial small subunit ribosomal RNA
Source: RNAcentral